ACGUGGGUAACCUGCCUGUAAGACUGGGAUAACUCCGGGAAACCGGGGCUAAUACCGGAUGGUUGUUUGAACCGCAUGGUUCAAACAUAAAAGGUGGCUUCGGCUACCACUUACAGAUGGACCCGCGGCGCAUUAGCUAGUUGGUGAGGUAACGGCUCACCAAGGCAACGAUGCGUAGCCGACCUGAGAGGGUGAUCGGCCACACUGGGACUGAGACACGGCCCAGACUCCUACGGGAGGCAGCAGUAGGGAAUCUUCCGCAAUGGACGAAAGUCUGACGGAGCAACGCCGCGUGAGUGAUGAAGGUUUUCGGAUCGUAAAGCUCUGUUGUUAGGGAAGAACAAGUACCGUUCGAAUAGGGCGGUACCUUGACGGUACCUAACCAGAAAGCCACGGCUAACUACGUGCCAGCAGCCGCGGUAAUACGUAGGUGGCAAGCGUUGUCCGGAAUUAUUGGGCGUAAAGGGCUCGCAGGCGGUUUCUUAAGUCUGAUGUGAAAGCCCCCGGCUCAACCGGGGAGGGUCAUUGGAAACUGGGGAACUUGAGUGCAGAAGAGGAGAGUGGAAUUCCACGUGUAGCGGUGAAAUGCGUAGAGAUGUGGAGGAAGCCCGCACCAGUGGCGAAGGCGACUCUCUGGUCUGUAACUGACGCUGAGGAGCGAAAGCGUGGGGAGCGAACAGGAUUAGAUACCCUGGUAGUCCACGCCGUAAACGAUGAGUGCUAAGUGUUAGGGGGUUUCCGCCCCUUAGUGCUGCAGCUAACGCAUUAAGCACUCCGCCUGGGGGAGUACGGUCGCAAGACUG
RNAcentral lists this ribosomal RNA (803 nucleotides) under Bacillus subtilis. RNAcentral describes it as "bacterial SSU rRNA". It matches the Rfam family "Bacterial small subunit ribosomal RNA", at positions 115 to 896 of the family's 1533-position model. The record is from RNAcentral. Lineage: Bacteria; Bacillati; Bacillota; Bacilli; Caryophanales; Bacillaceae.